CAAUAGCGUAUAUUAAAGUUGUUGCAGUUAAAAAGCUCGUAGUUGGAUUUGUGGCGUACGGUGUUUUCCGGGCACUUGUUGUCUGAGUAACCUGCUGUUGCCAUCCUUGGGUGGAACCUGUGUGGCAUUAGGUUGUCGUGCAGGGGAUGCCCAUCAUUUACUGUGAAAAAAUUAGAGUGUUCAAAGCAGGCUUAUGCCGUUGAAUAUAUUAGCAUGGAAUAAUGAGAUAGGACUUUUUUGCUAUUUUGUUGGUUUGCGCAAAGAGGUAAUGAUUAAUAGGGACAGUUGGGGGUAUUCGUAUUCCAUUGUCAGAGGUGAAAUUCUUGGAUUUUUGGAAGACGAACUACUGCGAAAGCAUUUACCAAGGAUGUUUUCAUUAA
This 380-nucleotide ribosomal RNA is filed under the name uncultured eukaryote. Its description in RNAcentral is "partial 18S ribosomal RNA". It matches the Rfam family "Eukaryotic small subunit ribosomal RNA", at positions 592 to 976 of the family's 1831-position model. The record is from RNAcentral.